This 369-nucleotide ribosomal RNA is filed under the name Triticum aestivum (bread wheat). RNAcentral describes it as "partial small subunit ribosomal RNA". Lineage: Eukaryota; Viridiplantae; Streptophyta; Magnoliopsida; Poales; Poaceae. The record is from RNAcentral.
AUGCCUGGUUCCAACAAAAACUUCGCCACACCAAAAAUUGCCGCCUCGUCGCAGCACCGGGCUCAGCCGGUUCCAGCAUCCUCCACCACGGUUCCAUCAUUUUGCCACUGUGGUUGCAGCACCCGUCGGCGUGGUCACCAUGCAGCACCCGUCGGCGUGGUCACCAUGCCCAUGGUGGGCAGCGCCAUGCUCGACCGGUUGCAGCAUCGCUGGACGCCGUCUCCAGCACCAAUGGACGCCCCCGUCUCCAGCACCCGCUCCGCCACGCCGCCCCAAGGCCGCCGCCGCGCAGUGGUUAGCAGCGCCGCCCCCCGUCAAAGCCAUGAGGAUGGAGAAGGUGUAGGCCAUGUCCUCCCCCUGCCUUCGUGA